CUACGGAGGGGACUAGCGUUGUUCGGAAUUACUGGGCGUAAAGCGUACGCAGGCGGAUUGUUAAGUUAGAGGUGAAAUCCCAGGGCUCAACCCUGGAACUGCCUUUAAAACUGGCAAUCUAGAGUUAUGGAGAGGUAAGUGGAAUUCCUAGUGUAGAGGUGAAAUUCGUAGAUAUUAGGAGGAACACCAGAGGCGAAGGCGGCUUACUGGACAUAUACUGACGCUGAGGUACGAAAGUGUGGGGAGCGAACGGGAUUAGAAACCCUAGUAGUCC
This 274-nucleotide ribosomal RNA is filed under the name uncultured bacterium. RNAcentral describes it as "partial 16S ribosomal RNA". It matches the Rfam family "Bacterial small subunit ribosomal RNA", at positions 523 to 796 of the family's 1533-position model. The record is from RNAcentral.